GUGGGGAAUAUUGGACAAUGGGCGCAAGCCUGAUCCAGCCAUGCCGCGUGAGUGAUGAAGGCCUUAGGGUUGUAAAGCUCUUUCACCGAUGAAGAUAAUGACGGUAACCGGAGAAGAAGCCCCGGCUAACUUCGUGCCAGCAGCCGCGGUAAUACGAAGGGGGCUAGCGUUGUUCGGAAUUACUGGGCGUAAAGCGCACGUAGGCGGGUAUUUAAGUCAGGGGUGAAAUCCCAGAGCUCAACUCUGGAACUGCCUUUGAUACUGGCAAUCUCGAGUCCGGAAGAGGUAAGUGGAACUGCGAGUGUAGAGGUGAAAUUCGUAGAUAUUCGCAAGAACACCAGUGGCGAAGGCGGCUUACUGGUCCGGUACUGACGCUGAGGUGCGAAAGCGUGGGGAGCAAACAGGAUUAGAUACCCUGUAGUCC
RNAcentral lists this ribosomal RNA (424 nucleotides) under uncultured bacterium. Its description in RNAcentral is "partial 16S ribosomal RNA". It matches the Rfam family "Bacterial small subunit ribosomal RNA", at positions 354 to 796 of the family's 1533-position model. The record is from RNAcentral.